Molecule: long non-coding RNA, 1213 nt
Organism: Populus nigra (black poplar)
Lineage: Eukaryota; Viridiplantae; Streptophyta; Magnoliopsida; Malpighiales; Salicaceae
Exons: 2
Source: RefSeq, a predicted model, not a curated record
CUGCAUACUCAGUGGCAAUGGCACCAGCAGGAGAGAUUUCUCGUAAUUAUUAAGGCUUUACAUUGGAAUUCGAUCUGAAGUGUGACUGAAGUGCACAUGCAUGCGAUCUGUGGCUGAUCUAAUGGUUAUUAAGGGUAGGCCUUGGUGCAGAGAUGGACUUCACAAUGUCUAGUGUGCCUGCCAGGGGUAAUGUGGCAAGCUUUCAGAUAUCAUACAGGAAUAAGAAAGGAGAAAAUGGUAUCCUUGGGACUCUUUGCUCACCGACUCCGACUAUGGAAAGAUUUGCGAAGGAGCUGGAUAGCAUGUUCAAGAAGCUGUCAAAUGCUUUUCAGGUAUGAAGGAGUUAAGGUUUGGAGGAUGUCGAGAUGAUGACAAAAUGUUUCAAGAUAUUUCAUUUCAAAACUAACGAUGAUGUCUAUUCGGUUCUUGAAAAAUGGUCAUGGAUGUUUGGAGGGAAGGUGAUUGUGCUACAACAAUGGAAUUCCCACUUCGUAUUUGAUACGAAUAGAAUCAAGAGAUUGGCAGUAUAGGUGAAACUACAUAGCUUGCCAUUCCCUUAAUGGACAAUAAAGGGUUUGAGCAAGGUGUCAACCAUGGUUGAGAGACCUCUUUCAUGUGAUGAGCAGACUUUGGGGUGCACUAGGCUUGACUUCGCAAGGGUAUAUAUUGAGAUUGAUGCUUCUUUGCCUAUUAUUCAUGAUUUUGAGUUUACUUGCAGCUUAUCAAUUGAGCCUAUCUCAGUUCAUGUUGAAUAUGAAUGAAAGGUAAGGCCUGAUCAAGUUCCAUUAGAACUUUGAAUGGCAUGAAGAAGAAUUUUUUGAAGAAGUACUUUCCUGCCUCUCGAGUUGCCAAUAAGAAAAGAAAUAUAUGGGAUACAAAAAUCUUAUGGGGAAACACUCUCUAAGCAUUGGGAAAGAUUUGAGCAGUUGUGUAUUCAAUGUUCUCAUCAUCAAAUACUCAAUCAGCUACUCAUUCAAUACUUCUACGAAGGACUGAUGCCUACUGACUGCAACAUCAUUAAUGCGGCAAGUGGAGGGGUGUUGGUAGAUAAAACACCAAAGGUUGCACGCCAAUUGAUCUCAAAUAUAGUAGCCAACUCGAAAUAAUUUGUAACAUAUUCUCAUUACAAGGACAUGUUUAGGAUAUGUGUCUAACAAUGCAAGAAGAUUACAUUGAACAAGCUAAUACAGUUGAUGGAGCAUUCAAUGGCCAA